GCAUUGGUGGUUUAGUGGUAGAAUUCUCGCCUCCCACGCAGGAGACCUGGGUCUGAUUCCCGGCCAACACA
Non-coding RNA from Danio rerio (zebrafish), 71 nucleotides. The record is from Rfam. Lineage: Eukaryota; Metazoa; Chordata; Actinopteri; Cypriniformes; Danionidae.